This 355-nucleotide ribosomal RNA is filed under the name uncultured bacterium. Its description in RNAcentral is "bacterial SSU rRNA". It matches the Rfam family "Bacterial small subunit ribosomal RNA", at positions 1 to 334 of the family's 1533-position model. The record is from RNAcentral.
CUAGUCGACUUCUAGACGUUUGAUCCUGGCUCAGGACACGCUGGCGGCGUGCCCAACACAUGCAAGUCGAACGAAGCAUUUAAGUGAAUCCCUUCGGGGUGAAGCUUUUAUGACUUAGUGGCGACGGGUGAGUAACGCGUGAGUAACCUGCCUUUCAGAGGGGGAUAACAGUUGGAAACGACUGCUAAUACCGCAUAACGUACAUUUAAGGCAUCUUAGAUGUACCAAAGCUGAGGCGCUGAAAGAUGGACUCGCGUCUGAUUAGAUAGUUGGUGAGGUAACGGCUCACCAAGUCGACGAUCAGUAGCCGGACUGAGAGGUUGAACGGCCACAUUGGGACUGAGACACGGCCCAG